Molecule: long non-coding RNA, 1934 nt
Organism: Macrobrachium nipponense
Lineage: Eukaryota; Metazoa; Arthropoda; Malacostraca; Decapoda; Palaemonidae
Exons: 3
Source: RefSeq, a predicted model, not a curated record
GUAAAUAUUUGUUGAGAAAGUUGCGAACAAUAGCGGGAGAGAGGACUAGUUGGAUUCUUCAACAUUGCAUAUUUCGAAAGGUACGUUGUUGGAACCCCCUUUUUUAUAAUGCGGAACGUCUUUUAUUCUUGGUGAAAUUCGGUACGUUGUUGGCGGAUGGUGGUGGCUCUACGGGCGGUGAUGAAGGUUUACCCUCCUCGGCCUUAUCACUUUUUACCCUUUGUGAGGUGACCAGAUUUGUUUCUGUCGGCCUUCCUCCAGUGUGGAGUUUAUUUGUUUGGUAACAGAAUCAUAUCAUCGCCCGAAAAAUGAUGAUUUCUUAUGUAAGUUUUAAAAGUGCAUUUCCUACAAGUUUGGUUUGUCAUGUAUUUAUUCAUAUUCAGAAUUCAUAGCCCAUUACCUUGAGUUCCAAACAUUUUAUGAUUUUCACGCGCGUGGUGUGGGUGGAGCCGGGCCGUGCAUGUAUAUUAUUAUUUUGGUUCAUGAUAGCUUCGUAACGCUUUUUAUUAACUUCUUUAUAGGAAAAGGGAUUCAUUAUAUUGAUUUUUAUGUAAAGCAACGAGAAUUCUUGAGAAGGGAUUUGAACUUCUGAGAUCCUAAAACCUCAGGUUGACAUCAUGGAAAUGUCAGAUAUGAUUCCUAUAAUCAGGAUCGUCUUGUAGAUUGAAGAUACUUUCUGAUCUAGUGGCGAUGCUUUGUUUAUGUUGAUUUUGUAAUCUGGCGUUGCUGGAUUUAGGAGUUACGUUUAUGGUUUUACGUAGUGUCUCAAGGUUUAUUUUUCUAUCUUAAAGUUGCGAUACUAAUGCCAUAUCAGCUUCAGCAAAGAUUUAUUAAAUUAAUUGCAUAAACCGGUUGAGGUAAUUUUUUAAUAUUUUGUCACUGUAUUCUUUGGAUUCCUUAAAGAAUAUAUAUAUAUGUAUAUAUAUAUAUACAUGAAUAAAGGUUUUUUUUUGCCACGAAGGAAAAAAAUGAAAAAGCGAGAUAGCCGAGUACUUUCGGUCCUAUUCGGACCCUUUGUUGUCUAAUGCUAAAGCUUUCAUUAUUUUUAUAGCUGUGAUUGGCACUAUUCCUGUUUUUUUUUUAUCAUGGUCACGCACAAUAUUUUAUUUUACGUUUUACAUUGUUUUGAAAUAAAUGAGCAUAGCCUAGAGAAUUUCUCAUAUAUAUAAUAUUGUUCAUAAAUGUUAUAUAACGGAAUGUCCUCCCAUGUGAAUUUAGCCAAGUUGUCAUUAGUUAUCGUAAAAUAAGAAAUACAGUAUUGUACUUGGAGACACGUAAGUUCGAUGGAGAUCUUGAAAUUUUUAGAGAUCUGAUUUUUCCAUUUUUUGUGUAUUUAUUUACAUGUUGGUUGAUGGAUGCCAUUCAGUAAUAAUGUAUGUAAAUGGAAUGAUUAUGCUUUGUUCAUGAAGUAUAUAAAUGACAUAAUUACAAUCGUGAUGAACGAACUGCAUUUAAGUUGUAUGGAUACUUCAUGCUUCGUACGUUCUUCACAUUUCAUUUUGAUCCCUUCUUCAUGUGAAAGGUGAAGGCCAAAAUUAUGUUAUUAACAAUGUUUUGAGCCAGGGGAACGGUAAAAACCUGCGGCAUUACAUCUCCUUAUUUAAUGCUUACAAUGAUUUUGUCGCCAAUGCUUCUUAUAUAGUGUAAGUGAUGCUCCUUGCAGUGAAGCAGAAAUAAGUUGACGUCACAGUUCGUUAGUUGUUGAUAUUUUAGGGAUAAUAUUUUUUGCACGAAAGGAACAAAGUCAUGAAUGGCCUGCAUCAUGAAGUGUAUUAAUAACGAAGACAAGAUGUGGUAUUAAAGAUAGUGAAGGGAAAGCAUAAUAAUUCCACAAAUACACCACUCAACGAGUAUAUGGUCCUAAAACUGACAAGCAUGCCGAUACAAGUCGAGAUCGUAAUUUACCCCCUUGUAGGUUGUAACUCUCCCUAAUG